Long non-coding RNA from Microcebus murinus (gray mouse lemur), 1199 nucleotides. RefSeq lists it as uncharacterized. The record is from RefSeq and is a predicted model, not a curated record. NCBI's taxonomy places the organism in Eukaryota, Metazoa, Chordata, Mammalia, Primates, Cheirogaleidae.
UCUCUCCCCAGAACAAGUGUGGCCUGGUCAACGUUCACGUUUGGAAGCUGUCUCAGCAUUUCCACGUAACGUGGCGGCCGGGCCAGUGGGCCUCCGGGCACAUGGGGAAGCUGUAAAGACGGCGGAUUACAGACCAUGCAAGACAGUACAUUUUACAUCUCCAUCCUCUCCCCCACCCUUUUUUGAUUGAGCAUCUGUGAGACCUGCUAAUUCUUCUGGAGAUUUCUGAAUAUCCUGUCUUCGCCCAGGUUGGGCAGUGCUAGAUGCCGGUUCUGACUGUGCAGCUAUUAACUUCAUGCUGAGGAUCUUGUUUUAACGUAUUCAAAUGAGGAUUCUGGGACCGGAGGUUCAGGGACCACGCUGGCCCAUUCUGGAAGCUUCUGGAAGCCCUUUGAAGGCCUGGCAGGCCGGCCUCCUUCAGUGGCACUCUGUCCAUGUGCUGUGGGUUGUCAGUGGGGAAAGAACAGAGUCAUUUUAAAGGAGCAUGGAUCCUAGGCUCUAGCAUACUUUUUUCCCAUCUGGCAGACAAAGUUUAUGACUACUAUGCAGACAGGUGGGUGCAGGAUACCACAUUCCUAGAUUCCCAGAGAGGAGGACACUUUUUUCCAAGAACAUUAUCGGGUGGAAAUGUGAAAAAUUCACACAACUGCCAAAACAAUGGAUCUUCAUGAGCCCAAAUAUUCUGAAUAUUUGAAACCAUCGGAAUGAUUUAUUAAACUUUUCACUUCCCACGGACGCGCUCACUGGGUGUUAUGCAGAUGUAGAUCUCACAGCCAGGAUGGUGUCUGUUGAGAGGAGGAUUCAGUCUCCACCAAACUCAGCCCCACUUGUGUUUCAGCAGCAAACCACUCUGACUGUGGCAAUUUUCAUAGCAGGAAAAAUUUUAGAUGGUUGUGUGGUUUCUAGCUUUGCUCUUUUCCAUUUUACACGUGAAAUGUUUGGGAUCAGAUUGGUUUUCUUUCAAACUAUGGUCCAAAUUAAUUUAUACUGAUGAUUAAAAAGAGAGAGAGAAAUUGCUACCUUUAAGAGAUUUUGACCUCAAGUCCUCUGAUAUUUGAGACACAUUUUUUUUUAUUCCCUGGGUUGCAACCCUUCAGUAGCAUGUAGGCGAGUUUCAAGGAAAGGAAAGAGUAAUGAAAAAUCUAAUAUAAAGGCUAUAAUUUUCUAAAGGAGCCUGUUUUUUAUUAAGAUCAAGUGUA